GCGCGAAAACUUUACAAUGCUGGCAACAGCGAUAAGGGAACCUCGAGUGCCAGGUUACAAAUCUGGCUGUCGAGAUGCCUAAAAAGCAUUUCAUAGCAAGGGCAAGGCAAGACCGGUGCCAGCCGCCGCGGUAACACCGGCGGCUCGAGUGGUAACCGUUAUUAUUGGGUCUAAAGGGUCUGUAGCCGGCCGGAUAAGUCUCUUGAGAAAUCUGGCAGCUUAACUGUCAGGCUUUCAGGAGAUACUGUCUGGCUCGAGGCCGGGAGAGGUGAGAGGUACUUCAGGGGUAGGGGUGAAAUCUUGUAAUCCUUGAAGGACCACCAGUGGCGAAGGCGGCUCACCAGAACGGACCUGACGGCAAGGGACGAAAGCUAGGGGCACGAACCG
This 387-nucleotide ribosomal RNA is filed under the name uncultured bacterium. Its description in RNAcentral is "bacterial SSU rRNA". It matches the Rfam family "Archaeal small subunit ribosomal RNA", at positions 339 to 726 of the family's 1478-position model. The record is from RNAcentral.